AACUAGUCCAAUCAAGCAAAACGACUUAAAGUUUGACCUCCCGAAACUAAGCGAGCUACUUCAAGGCAGCUUUUUGAGCCAACCCGUCUCUGUUGCAAAAGAGUGGGAAGACCUUCAAGUAGGGGUGACAGACCUAACGAGCUUAGUGAUAGCUGGUUACUCAAGAAAAGAAUUUUAGUCCAACCUAAAGUUUAUUUAAUUAAUUUAAAUGCCCCUUUAACUUUAGAGCAAUUCAAAUAAGGUACAGCCUAUUUGAAACAGGAUACAACCUUUACCAACGGGUAAACAAAAUGAUUCAACAUAACUAAGUGGGCCUAAGAGCAGCCACCUUUAAAAUAGCGUCAAAGCUUAAUUGUGCCUUCAUCUAAUAUCUAACAAACCAGUGAACCCUUCCUCAAUAUUGAGUACAUCUAUAAAAAUAUAGAAGAAUUUAUGUUAAAACUAGUAACAAGAAGAAGACCUUCUCUUAAAUGUAAGUGUAAAUCAGAAAGGACACACCACUGAUAAUUAAC
This 512-nucleotide ribosomal RNA is filed under the name Ceratophrys ornata (ornate horned frog). RNAcentral's name for it is "partial 16S ribosomal RNA". It matches the Rfam family "Bacterial large subunit ribosomal RNA", at positions 676 to 1384 of the family's 2925-position model. Lineage: Eukaryota; Metazoa; Chordata; Amphibia; Anura; Ceratophryidae. The record is from RNAcentral.